RNAcentral lists this long non-coding RNA (491 nucleotides) under Setaria italica (foxtail millet). RNAcentral describes it as "long non-coding RNA (SITA_LNC000435)". Lineage: Eukaryota; Viridiplantae; Streptophyta; Magnoliopsida; Poales; Poaceae. The record is from RNAcentral.
GGCUACCGACGUCCGACGGUGGAUUGUCGCCGCGCCCCGCUGAUUCUCAUCGUACUGCGCCCGCGCGACGCGACCUGCAAGCGGAGGACAGGUUUUUACCGUGGGGGCAGAGGGGCUCGAGGGGCUCCACACCACACGUCGUCCCGCGCGCCCUGCAGCAGCAAGAUCUGCUCGCCCGUGAAAGGUACGGUGUACUCGCGCGCACCAACGUGGCGGACUCGCACCGCCCGUCUGCCCUGGCAGUUGCGAGGCGCUGGGGCCGGACCGGCACACCCCCGGGGACCGGGUUCACGACUCACAGGCGCCUCCUCGCUCGGUAACGUCCCGUCCCCGGUCUGCCCCAUCCGGCGAAGAUGCUGCGACAGUGGGUGCACCCCCUGUGCAAGCAAAGGGUAGCCUGCUUCGGAGGAGUGUGUCCUAUACCGCCCAUGCGUACAAAAAGGCAAGCUUUUCUUGCAUGCAAGCUAAAAGGGUUUAGCUCUGAAUGUGGC